Molecule: RNA transcript, 2963 nt
Organism: Photinus pyralis (common eastern firefly)
Lineage: Eukaryota; Metazoa; Arthropoda; Insecta; Coleoptera; Lampyridae
Gene name: solute carrier family 46 member 3-like
Exons: 8
Source: RefSeq, a predicted model, not a curated record
CGUUUAUCUGGAUUUUCUUUUUUUACUUUUACUUUUAUUGGAAUUCAAAUCGACACAUACUUUUCUGAUAUCGCGUACAAAAUUAUUCUUCAUUUUAUUAUUUUAAAUUGGGUAUCAUUUCUGACUAACUGAAGACUUCAAACACCGGCUGACUAACGGAAAAAUGUGUAUUUCAUUCAUCGAUUGAACCGAUACCGCCCAGUUAGAUCAGCGCCCAUCAUUUUUAAGUCCAGACCACCUCCACCAUAACUUUUCGUACCGCUUCCACCCGACGAAAUACGAAAACUUAUUAAAAUCAAACCGUCACUACCCGUCUCCUCUGCUUAAGCUAUAUCUGCCGACUCAAAAAGGAUAAACCUCGCGAUCAGCGUCAUGUCUUAACCAACCAGCGAGUCCCGAUUCUUAUCUAUUUUGCGUUGUUAGCUCUGCAAAAGGAGAAACAACAAAUCAUGGAUGGUUCACUGCUAUCUCUACUCAAAACACCCAAGUUUCUUCAAAUACGUCUCGUUAUCGCCGUUAAACCGUUCCAUCGUUGACUAUGAUACUUUUGGUAAUGAAGUAGAGACACUACUCGUUUCGAUGAGGUAUUUAGAAUAUAGUAGCUGUACAAUGCAUAUAGCCAAAGAAGAAGCGACUUCUAUUCCAGGAAAAUCCUUCUCUCAAAAAGCGCGUACUUGCCUGGCCAACAUCACAGUGGAGCCAUUGAUAGUUUUAUAUUUAUUUCCGAGCGUCCUCUUAGCCAUGUCAGCCGCAAAUUUGCAUUUGGAAAAAGCUUGCCGUGUGAAAUUGCAACUUAAUGAAACAGUAUGUGACGCACUAACGGCUCGCAACGCAAGCGCAUAUACAAGCGAGCAAGAAAACUUAGUUCAGAAAGUGGUAACAGCAAUGAACGCGUGGAAAAGUAUAAUUCAAAGUGUUAUUCCGGCAUGUUUGCUACUCCUAUUUGGAGCAUGGAGCGACAAGCACAAUCGCCGGAAACCUCUGAUGGCGUUACCAAUAAUUGGAGAAUUUAUAACUGUGACCGGUUUCAUCUUCUGCACCUACUUUUUUUAUGAGUUGUCGAUGGAGUUCACUGGACUGGUGGAAACCGUGCCAAAUGCGUUUACCGGUAGUUGGUUUACUAUGUUCAUGGCAGUGAUGAGCCUAAUUGGUUGUACCUCGUCCCUUGAAUCACGCACAGUCAAAAUUGGGGCGGUUAAUAUACUCAUGAAUACCUGCAUCAUGCUCGGAUUGGGAUUAAGUGGAGCGUUGUAUCACGUAAUUGGAUCGUACGCAAUUUAUUGUUUCGCAUUGUCAAUGUAUACCAUUGGUCUUAUUUACCUUAAGAUUAGGAUCAAAGAGGCGAAGACCGAAGCUUCUGGUGAUGAAGGUUUGAAGAGUGACAGAUCCGGCACAUUUAAAGACUUUUUCAAUGUCUUACACAUUAAAGACACAAUCAUGGUUGCUUUUCGCCAGCGGAAGCGGAAUGAUCGUAAAAGACUUUUCGUAAUAUUGACAUUGACCAUUCUUGUUUUAGGACCGAUGUAUGGUGAAAUGCAGGUAGUAUAUUUAUUUACUCGAAAACAGUUCCAAUGGAAUGAAGUGGAGUUUAGCGCUUUUUUUAGUGUGAACAUCGUUCUGCACUGUGUAGGAACCAUAGUCGCUUUGGCGGUGCUCUCCAAAUACUUAAAGCUACGUGACACAACCGUUGGGAUGAUAUGUUACACUGGAAAAUUCUUUGCUGCGUUUCUAUACGCAUUCGCACGCACGCCUUUGUUAUAUUGUCUAGGAGUUUUUGUCGAAAUGCUCAGCAGCACCACGCAUAUUACUUUACGAUCAUUAGCAACAAAAUUAGUAUCAGAGGAUGAACAAGGUAAAUGAAACAUUGCAAGACCUAAGUCGAUUCCCUUCAGCUCCACCAAGUAGUGUUGCAUGUUCAAUUUGCGGAAAGUUAUUUGGAAGAACUUCAAUUAAGAUUCACGAACCACAGUGUCUGCAAAAACUACAAACCCAGAAUGAACUAUUGGCACCAGAAGAAAGGAAACAAUUACCCACACUACUAGCAGAUGACGUCAAGAAAUACAAACGCCCAACUUCAACAAAGCGACCGACAACUAUUCCCUGCUAUUUGUGUGGAAAAAUGUUUUCAAUGGCAUCUAUCUCGAUCCACGAGCCGCAAUGUCUCAAAAAAUGGAAAAUGGAAAAUGAGAAAUUGCCUUCACAUAAAAGGCAAUCUGAACCAAUUAAACCAGAUCUUAAACUUGGAGGCAAUGGACAGAUCGACUUUGAACAGAUGAAUGAUUUGUACUGGAAAAUGCAUUUAGAUCAACUAGUACCUUGUAAGGUUUGUGGCAGGAAAUUUAAUCCUAGCAGAGUAGAGAUUCACGAGCGUAGUUGCAAGGGUAAAGUGCAACAAAGUACCUAGCCAAUAGUGGCAAUAGUACCAUACACCUUUAUUAAGAGUUGCUCACUGUGGGUAUGAAUUCAUGUGCUCGUGCAUAUCCAACCUUCUAUACACUGAUGGGAAUUGCUGUAAAAUAAGUAGUGCAUACUUUUAGAAAACUUCAAAAAGGAGAAAGAAAGAUAAAUAAGUUUCAUUUUGUUGAACCGUCUGUUGUCUUCUUUAUUUUUGCCUUAAGUACAAUCUUCUUCCAUUAGGCAUAUGUACAAAUGCAUAAUCACAAAACUAUCGCAAAUGCAAUCAUAUUGGUUUAGUUUUGUAGCCUUAGGUAAGAACAUAUUUACACUAUUACGGCAAAUUCUGUUCUAAGGAAGAUAGUAAUAGCGGUUAGCCAUUUAAAGAUAGCACUACUUUCCCAGCCAAACUUCGUAUACUUAUUACAUAUUGCUUAGAUUUAGAAGGUAGAUACCUACCUAUAUCUAUAAAGGUGUGUGACAAGAGUAUUUUUGUAGUCAUAACAUGGUAUCUAUAAUUAUUAUAAAUGUUAUUUUUGGUGUGAAUAAAUGUUUUUAAAACAUGAAUC